UACGGGGGGUGCGAGCGUUGUUCGGAAUUAUUGGGCGUAAAGGGCGCGCAGGCGGUUUUUUAAGUCUGAUGUGAAAGCCCCGGGCUUACCCCGGGAAGUGCAUUGGAUACUGGGAGACUUGAGUACGGGAGAGGAGAGCGGAAUUCCUGGUGUAGGGGUGAAAUCCGUAGAUAUCAGGAAGAACAUCGGUGGCGAAGGCGGCUCUCUGGACCGAUACUGACGCUGAGGCGCGAAAGCAUGGGGAGCAAACAGGAUUAGAUACCCUGGUAGUCCAUGCCGUAAACGAUGAGUACUAGGUGUUGCGGGUAUUGACCCCUGCAGUGCCGUAGCUAACGUGAUAAGUACUCCGCCUGGGAAGUACGGCCGCAAGGCUAAA
RNAcentral lists this ribosomal RNA (376 nucleotides) under uncultured bacterium. Its description in RNAcentral is "bacterial SSU rRNA". It matches the Rfam family "Bacterial small subunit ribosomal RNA", at positions 524 to 898 of the family's 1533-position model. The record is from RNAcentral.